UUUUUUAAUCUUGACAGGACUUUGAAUCAUUUUGUAAAACUUAAAUAGAAAGCAAUUGUUCAAAAGUCUGGGAUUUAAGAACUUUGUAACUGUUGCUGACUGUUCAGAGCUUCCCAGCUGGAGAGUGAGCAUCCGUCUUCCCACCACGUCCCUUUGGUUGACCUGGCUUCACUGUUGAGGGCACGUCACUGUCACUCAGCUCAGGCCCUACUGUCACACUCAUCUUUCUUUUUUCACCAGCAGGUUUUGGUAUCAAAGCCCUGGAGUGUUCAGCCCUGCACGGGUCCCCCAGCCGUGACUGGUCAUGGAAGUCAGCAGGCCCAGGCUGCUGUGUGCGUGAAGGCAGUGCGCCUGUGGGAUGAUGUGAGCUACCCUGAGGUUCUCAAGGCCCAUGUUCGAGUGUGGCGGACAGCUGUGGAGGUACAGCUGCUGCAUUUUGACCAUGAGAUCCUUUCUCCUUUUACAUUGCCGGGUUCUCAGGUCCUAAGGUGAGAGAGGAUUUUAUUAGUAUGAGAAUGUCUUCCCUUACUUUCUUCAUUUACUGUUAUUUAGCGCUUUCCUCAGAGGUUGACCUUAUUUCUUUAUCUAAUUAUAUGCACAUAUGUUAUGCACCUUGACACAAUAAUUAUAAAUGUAUACAUCUAUACUGUGGCAGGUGGAAGAUACAUAUGGUUUCUUCUUUCUUUUUUAGGUUACGCCACGUGGCAUGUGGGUUUUUAUCUCCCUGGCCAGGGAUGGGACCCUCGCCCACCCUAUUGGAUGUGCAGUCUUAACCACUGUACCACCAAGCCUUAACAUUUACUUCUCAGUUUUAUUUUUCUUCGGCCUUUUCUUGAAGUGGUCUUUUCUAUUUUAUUAUUUAGUGCUUUUUAAAAAAAUCAAGUAAUGCUCUUUUUUACUUCGGAUACUUGUGUAAAAUGUUUUGAGUUUUGUUUUAUCCUAAAAUAUAUUUUUCUCUCUGAAAAGUGAAGGCUGUCUUACUUUGUAUAGGAUUCCUGAUUGUGGUCUUUCUUUUUUCAUUGAUUUUUACCUUCUUAUAGUUCAGUUGAAAGUUUAGAUACCAUUUUUUCCUGCUUAUAUAGGUUUUUCAAAUUCUUUAUGGCAAGUAUUCUCCCAGGCUCGGGGAGGAAGGCAGCUCAUCUACCUAGGUUCUUUACCUUCUGAGAAGCAGACAUCUGACCUUGGAUCCUGGAAGAGCUGAGCUGCCCGGAGCCCUUGGCCAGGCUGGGAGGGUGCUCUGAGGUUCUGUCCCCAGCGUCCAGCACAGCCCAUUCCUUCUACACGGGCACAUCUGGCCUCCAGGUCCUUUGGGGCUGGGAGCUGAGGCAGGACCCUCCUCCAGAUACUGGAACCUUGAGGUCAUGUGCACUCCUGCAGUUCCCAGGGUCCUGUGAUGAGCCAUCCAUUUGUCAGCCAAGGACCUUCCUUCUUGCUUUUGGAUGAACUCUGUUCUGAAGAAGGUCCUUGGGGAAAACAUGAGGACUGCAUCUUU
This 1492-nucleotide long non-coding RNA is filed under the name Bos indicus x Bos taurus (hybrid cattle). Its description in RNAcentral is "lncRNA (ENSBIXG00000017241.1)". Lineage: Eukaryota; Metazoa; Chordata; Mammalia; Artiodactyla; Bovidae. The record is from RNAcentral.